This 503-nucleotide ribosomal RNA is filed under the name uncultured bacterium. RNAcentral's name for it is "bacterial SSU rRNA". It matches the Rfam family "Bacterial small subunit ribosomal RNA", at positions 24 to 518 of the family's 1533-position model. The record is from RNAcentral.
UCAGGAUGAACGCUAGCGACAGGCUUAACACAUGCAAGUCGAGGGGCAUCACGGGAGUAGCAAUACAACUGGUGGCGACCGGCGCACGGGUGAGUAACGCGUAUGCAACCUACCUAUCAGAGGGGAAUAACCCGGCGAAAGUCGGACUAAUACCGCAUAAAACAGGGGCACCGCAUGGUGAUAUUUGUUAAAGAAAUUCGCUGAUAGAUGGGCAUGCGUUCCAUUAGGUAGUUGGUGAGGUAACGGCUCACCAAGCCGACGAUGGAUAGGGGAACUGAGAGGUUGGUCCCCCAUACUGGUACUGAGACACGGACCAGACUCCUACGGGAGGCAGCAGUGAGGAAUAUUGGUCAAUGGGCGGGAGCCUGAACCAGCCAAGUCGCGUGAAGGAAGAAGGAUCUAUGGUUCGUAAACUUCUUUUGCAGGGGAAUAAAGUGCAGGACGUGUCCUGUUUUGUAUGUACCCUGAGAAUAAGGAUCGGCUAACUCCGUGCCAGCCGCCGC